Molecule: non-coding RNA, 21 nt
Filed under: Caenorhabditis elegans
Lineage: Eukaryota; Metazoa; Nematoda; Chromadorea; Rhabditida; Rhabditidae
Source: RNAcentral
UAAAAAAUCCAACUGAAACCA